UGGGGGAUAUUGCACAAUGGGCGAAAGCCUGAUGCAGCGACGCCGCGUGGGGGAUGAAGGCUUUCGGGUUGUAAACCUCUUUCGCUAUCGAACAAGGCCCGCUUAGGGUGGGUUGAGGGUAGGUGGAGAAGAAGCGCCGGCUAACUACGUGCCAGCAGCCGCGGUAAUACGUAGGGCGCGAGCGUCGUCCGGAAUUAUUGGGCGUAAAGGGCUUGUAGGCGGCUUGUUGCGCCUGCUGUGAAAACGCGGGGCUUAACUUCGCGCGUGCAGUGGGUACGGGCAGGCUUGAGUGUGGUAGGGGUGACUGGAAUUCCAGGUGUAGCGGUGGAAUGCGCAGAUAUCUGGAGGAACACCGAUGGCGAAGGCAGGUCACUGGGCCAUUACUGACGCUGAGGAGCGAAAGCAUGGGUAGCGAACAGG
This 420-nucleotide ribosomal RNA is filed under the name bacterium. Its description in RNAcentral is "partial 16S ribosomal RNA". It matches the Rfam family "Bacterial small subunit ribosomal RNA", at positions 355 to 776 of the family's 1533-position model. The record is from RNAcentral.